Molecule: long non-coding RNA, 210 nt
Filed under: Elaeis guineensis (African oil palm)
Lineage: Eukaryota; Viridiplantae; Streptophyta; Magnoliopsida; Arecales; Arecaceae
Description: long non-coding RNA (EGUI_LNC044060)
Source: RNAcentral
UGGGCCGACUAAAAAAACUACAUUGGCUAACCGAUAAUCAACCUGACUCAAAUAUACAAAGUUCCCCCAGCUGGGUGGACGUCGGGUGCCUUCACUAACAUCCAGCCGGCUGAAGGUUGGUCGCCCCUAGUCGACACCAUCCCAACUAAACUAAAUAUGUCUCCCACGACUGUUCGGCAUGUAACCGACUUAAUGGUCGGUUAACAGCUG